AUGAUUAUCCUUGCCUGGAACUGCCGAGGCUUGGGGUUGGACUCGGCAGUUGGCGAGCUUCGGGGCUUGAUUAAGUCAUACAACCCAGAGGUGGUGUUCUUAUCAGAAACAAAGAAGAGAUUCGAAGCGAUGGAUAGACUCAAGUGGAGUUUGGGGUUGACCAAAGGGGUAGCGGUGGAUUGCAAUGGCAAGAGUGGAGGCUUAGCACUAUGGUGGAGGGACCAUAUUGAUGUUACAGUUAGGACGUGGUGCCAAUAUUACAUUGAUGCAGCUAUUGCAAGUGAGGGUGGCUCCUUUAGGUCCACUGGAAUCUAUGGAGAGCCAUGCAUUUAG
RNAcentral lists this ribosomal RNA (333 nucleotides) under Triticum aestivum (bread wheat). Its description in RNAcentral is "partial small subunit ribosomal RNA". Lineage: Eukaryota; Viridiplantae; Streptophyta; Magnoliopsida; Poales; Poaceae. The record is from RNAcentral.